UGCAAGUCGAGCGGUAAGGUCCCUUCGGGGAUACACGAGCGGCGGACGGCUGAGUAACACGUAGGAACGUACCCCAAAGUGAGGGAUAAGCACCAGAAAUGGUGUCUAAUACCGCAUGUGCUCUAAGGAGUAAAGCUUCGGCGCUUUGGGAACGGCCUGCGUCCGAUUAGCUAGUUGGUGAGGUAAAAGCUCACCAAGGCGACGAUCGGUAGCUGGUCUGAGAGGAUGAUCAGCCAGACUGGGACUGAGACACGGCCCAGACUCCUACGGGAGGCAGCAGUAGGGAAUUUUCCACAAUGGGCGAAAGCCUGAUGGAGCAACGCCGCGUGCAGGAUGAAUGCCUUAGGGUUGUAAACUGCUUUUAUAUGUGACGAUAAUGACGGUAGCAUAUGAAUAAGGAUCGGCUAACUCCGUGCCAGCAGCCGCGGUCAUACGGAGGAUCCAAGCGUUAUCCGGAAUUACUGGGCGUAAAGAGUUGCGUAGGUGGCAUGGUAAGUAGAUAGUGAAAGAGUGUGGCUCAACCAUAUACACAUUAUCUAAACUGCCAAGCUAGAGGAUGAGAGAGGUUAUUGGAAUUCCCAGUGUAGGAGUGAAAUCCGUAGAUAUUGGGAGGAACACCGAUGGCGUAGGCAGAUAACUGGCUCAUUCCUGACCCUAAGGCACGAAAGCGUGGGGAGCAAACGGGAUUAGAUACCCCGGUAGUCCACGCCGUAAACUAUGGAUGCUAGCUGUUAGAAGUAUCGACCCUUCUAGUAGCGAAGCUAACGCGUUAAGCAUCCCGCCUGUGGAGUACGGUCGCAAGACUA
Molecule: ribosomal RNA, 806 nt
Filed under: uncultured Candidatus Saccharibacteria bacterium
Lineage: Bacteria; Candidatus Saccharimonadota
Description: bacterial SSU rRNA
Rfam family: Bacterial small subunit ribosomal RNA
Source: RNAcentral